CUACGGGUCGCUGCAGUGAGGAAUAUUGCACAAUGGGGGGAACCCUGAUGCAGCAACGCCGCGUGGAGGAUUACGCAUUUCGGUGUGUAAACUCCUUUUAUAUGUCAAGAAAAUGACGGUAGCAUAUGAAUAAGCACCGGCUAACUCCGUGCCAGCAGCCGCGGUAAUACGGAGGGUGCAAGCGUUACUCGGAAUCACUGGGCGUAAAGGACGCGUAGGCGGGUUGGAAAGUCAGGUGUGAAAUCCUACAGCUUAACUGUAGAACUGCACUUGAAACUUCUAAUCUAGAGUAUGGGAGGGGGAGAUGGAAUUAGUGGUGUAGGGGUAAAAUCCGUAGAUAUCACUGGGAAUACCUAAAGCGAAGGCGAUCUCCUGGAACAUUACUGACGCUAAGGCGUGAAAGCGUGGGGAGCAAACAGGAUUAGAUACCCUGUAGUC
RNAcentral lists this ribosomal RNA (438 nucleotides) under uncultured bacterium. RNAcentral describes it as "partial 16S ribosomal RNA". It matches the Rfam family "Bacterial small subunit ribosomal RNA", at positions 339 to 795 of the family's 1533-position model. The record is from RNAcentral.